Salmo salar (Atlantic salmon) is the source of this 248-nucleotide non-coding RNA. NCBI's taxonomy places the organism in Eukaryota, Metazoa, Chordata, Actinopteri, Salmoniformes, Salmonidae. The record is from RefSeq and is a predicted model, not a curated record.
AAUAUCACUACGCACAAAGCUAUAGGACUACUACACAGGUAAUAUCACUACGCACAAAGCUAUAGGACUACUACACAGGUAAUAUCACUACGCACAAAGCUAUAGGACUACUGCACAGGUAAUAUCACUACGCACAAAGCUAUAGGACUACUACACAGGUAAUAUCACUACGCACAAAGCUAUAGGACUACUACACAGGUAAUAUCACUACGCACGAAGCUAUAGGACUACUACACAGGUAAUAUCAC